Molecule: ribosomal RNA, 465 nt
Filed under: uncultured bacterium
Lineage: Bacteria
Description: partial 16S ribosomal RNA
Rfam family: Bacterial small subunit ribosomal RNA
Source: RNAcentral
GACGAACGCUGGCGGCGUGCUUAACACAUGCGAGUCGAACGGAAAGGCCCCCUUGUGGGGUACUCGAGUGGCGAACGGGUGAGUAACACGUGAGUAACCUACCCUUGACUUUGGGAUAACUUCAGGAAACUGGGGCUAAUACCGGAUAGGAGCUCCUGCUGCAUGGUGGGGGUUGGAAAGUUUCGGCGGUUGGGGAUGGACUCGCGGCUUAUCAGCUUGUUGGUGGGGUAGUGGCUCACCAAGGCUUUGACGGGUAGCCGGCCUGAGAGGGUGACCGGCCACAUUGGGACUGAGAUACGGCCCAGACUCCUACGGGAGGCAGCAGUGGGGAAUAUUGCACAAUGGGCGGAAGCCUGAUGCAGCAACGCCGCGUGCGGGAUGACGGCCUUCGGGUUGUAAACCGCUUUCGCCUGUGACGAAGCGUGAGUGACGGUAAUGGGUAAAGAAGCACCGGCUAACUACGUG